GAGUUUGAUCCUGGCUCAGAACGAACGCUGGCGGCGUGCCUAACACGUGCAAGUCGAACGUGAUCCAGAGCUUGCUCUGGUGAAAGUGGCGCACGGGUGAGUAACGCGUGGAUAACCUACCCUGGUAUCCGGGAUAACUUUCCGAAAGGGGUGCUAAUACCGGAUAAGCCCACGGGCUCUUUGGAGCUUGCGGGAAAAGGUGGCCUCUAUUUAUAAGCUACUGUAUCAGGAUGGGUCCGCGUACCAUUAGCUAGUUGGCGGUGUAACGGACCACCAAGGCGACGAUGGUUAGCUGGUCUGAGAGGAUGAUCAGCCACACUGGAACUGAGACACGGUCCAGACUCCUACGGGAGGCAGCAGUGGGGAAUUUUGCGCAAUGGGGGAAACCCUGACGCAGCAACGCCGCGUGAGUGAUGAAGGCCUUUGGGUCGUAAAGCUCUGUCAGAGGGGAAGAAAUGAUAUAGUGCUAAUACCACUUUAUCUUGACGGUACCCUCAAAGGAAGCACCGGCUAACUCCGUGCCAGCAGCCGCGGUAAUAC
This 540-nucleotide ribosomal RNA is filed under the name uncultured Geobacteraceae bacterium. RNAcentral describes it as "bacterial SSU rRNA". It matches the Rfam family "Bacterial small subunit ribosomal RNA", at positions 9 to 526 of the family's 1533-position model. The record is from RNAcentral. Lineage: Bacteria; Pseudomonadati; Thermodesulfobacteriota; Desulfuromonadia; Geobacterales; Geobacteraceae.